This is a non-coding RNA of Chlorocebus sabaeus (green monkey), 46 nucleotides long. NCBI's taxonomy places the organism in Eukaryota, Metazoa, Chordata, Mammalia, Primates, Cercopithecidae. The record is from Rfam.
ACUAAGGUUUUUUUAAAAACCAUAUUCUUGCAAAAUUACUUGCCUU